GACGAACGCUGGCGGCGUGCUUAACACAUGCAAGUCGAACGGAAAGGCCCUGCUUUUGUGGGGUGCUCGAGUGGCGAACGGGUGAGUAACACGUGAGUAACCUGCCCUUGACUUUGGGAUAACUUCAGGAAACUGGGGCUAAUACCGGAUAGGAGCUCUUGCUGCAUGGUGGGGGUUGGAAAGUUUCGGCGGUUGGGGAUGGACUCGCGGCUUAUCAGCUUGUUGGUGGGGUAGUGGCUUACCAAGGCUUUGACGGGUAGCCGGCCUGAGAGGGUGACCGGCCACAUUGGGACUGAGAUACGGCCCAGACUCCUACGGGAGGCAGCAGUGGGGAAUAUUGCACAAUGGGCGGAAGCCUGAUGCAGCAACGCCGCGUGCGGGAUGACGGCCUUCGGGUUGUAAACCGCUUUCGCCUGUGACGAAGCGUGAGUGACGGUAAUGGGUAAAGAAGCACCGGCUAACUACGU
Molecule: ribosomal RNA, 467 nt
Filed under: uncultured bacterium
Lineage: Bacteria
Description: partial 16S ribosomal RNA
Rfam family: Bacterial small subunit ribosomal RNA
Source: RNAcentral